RNAcentral lists this ribosomal RNA (491 nucleotides) under uncultured bacterium. RNAcentral's name for it is "partial 16S ribosomal RNA". It matches the Rfam family "Bacterial small subunit ribosomal RNA", at positions 29 to 506 of the family's 1533-position model. The record is from RNAcentral.
AGUGAACGCUGGCGGUAGGCCUAACACAUGCAAGUCGAACGGCAGCACAGUAAGAGCUUGCUCUUACGGGUGGCGAGUGGCGGACGGGUGAGGAAUACAUCGGAAUCUACUUUUUCGUGGGGGAUAACGUAGGGAAACUUACGCUAAUACCGCAUACGACCUACGGGUGAAAGCAGGGGAUCUUCGGACCUUGCGCGAUUGAAUGAGCCGAUGUCGGAUUAGCUAGUUGGCGGGGUAAAGGCCCACCAAGGCGACGAUCCGUAGCUGGUCUGAGUGGAUGGUCAGCGACAGUGGAAGUGAGACACGACCCAGACACCGACGGGAGGCAGCAGUGGGGAAUAUUGGACACUGGGCGCAAGCCUGAUCCAGCCAUACCGGGUGGGUGAAGAAGGCCUGCGUGUUGUAAAGCCCUUUUGUUGGGAAAGAAAAGCAGCAGGUUAAUACCCCGCUGUUCUGACGGUACCCAAAGAAUAAGCACCGGCUAAUUUCGG